Molecule: ribosomal RNA, 433 nt
Filed under: uncultured bacterium
Lineage: Bacteria
Description: partial 16S ribosomal RNA
Rfam family: Bacterial small subunit ribosomal RNA
Source: RNAcentral
AACGAACGCUGGCGGCAUGACUAACACAUGCAAGUCGAACGAGACCUUCGGGUCUAGUGGCGCACGGGUGCGUAACGCGUGGGAACCUGCCCUUAGGUUCGGAAUAACUCCCCGAAAGGGGUGCUAAUACCGGAUAAUGUCUUCGGACCAAAGAUUUAUCGCCUUUGGAUGGGCCCGCGUUGGAUUAGCUAGUUGGUAGGGUAAAAGCCUACCAAGGCGACGAUCCAUAGCUGGUCUGAGAGGAUGAUCAGCCACACUGGGACUGAGACACGGCCCAGACUCCUACGGGAGGCAGCAGUGGGGAAUAUUGGACAAUGGGCGAAAGCCUGAUCCAGCAAUGCCGCGUGAGUGGUGAAGGCCUUAGGGUUGUAAAGCUCUUUUACCCGGGAUGAUAAUGACAGUACCGGGAGAAUAAGCUCCGGCUAACUCCGUG